Phodopus roborovskii (desert hamster) is the source of this 102-nucleotide small nuclear RNA. NCBI's taxonomy places the organism in Eukaryota, Metazoa, Chordata, Mammalia, Rodentia, Cricetidae. The record is from RefSeq and is a predicted model, not a curated record.
GUUCACUUCGGCAGUACUUAUACUAAAAUUGGAACGAUACAGCGAUUGGCACCGCCCUUGCUCUACAAUGACACGCAAAUUCAUGAGGCAUUCCAUGUUUUC